UCGGGAAUUUUGGGCAAUGGGCGAAAGCCUGACCCAGCAACGCCGCGUGAAGGAUGAAGCUCUUCGGAGUGUAAACUUCGGAAGUAUGGGAAGAAUAAAUGACGGUACCAUAUCUAAGCCCCGGCUAACUCUGUGCCAGCAGCCGCGGUAAUACAGAGGGGGCAAGCGUUGUUCGGAUUUACUGGGCGUAAAGCGCGUGUAGGCGGCUUUGCAAGUCACUUGUGAAAUCUCCAGGCUUAACCUGGAGCGGCCAAGUGAUACUGCUGAGCUAGAGUGCAGAAGGGGCAACUGGAAUUCUUGGUGUAGCGGUGAAAUGCGUAGAUAUCAAGAGGAACACCUGAGGCGAAGGCGGGUUGCUGGGCUGACACUGACGCUGAGACGCGAAAGCUAGGGGAGCAAA
This 400-nucleotide ribosomal RNA is filed under the name uncultured bacterium. RNAcentral's name for it is "bacterial SSU rRNA". It matches the Rfam family "Bacterial small subunit ribosomal RNA", at positions 355 to 772 of the family's 1533-position model. The record is from RNAcentral.